GGGAGAGCUAGGCUGGCGCGCUAGUCCUGCGCUGUCACCAUGAAUGGACUUUACAUGGAGCCGAAGCCCAAGGAAGGGCCACUUUGGUUUUCGUGGUCCCCAUUGCCUUUGCUGACGGUUUGUCCUCUGGGAUGAACUUGUGAGGAACCAGGUCAGAUCCGGAAGGAAGCAGCCUUAACUUUCAAUCUUCAUGUUCAGAGGGGUGCAAUCCCGAGAAGCUUUGGGGGUUAUACCAUGAAGGCCAGAACAGUUCGACUGCGGGCGUGCCCC
Molecule: signal recognition particle RNA, 270 nt
Filed under: Nanobdellota archaeon
Lineage: Archaea; Nanobdellati; Nanobdellota
Description: signal recognition particle sRNA
Rfam family: Archaeal signal recognition particle RNA
Source: RNAcentral